GAUGAAGAACGUAGCGAAAUGCGAUAAGUAAUGUGAAUUGCAGAAUUCAGUGAAUCAUCGAAUCUUUGAACGCACAUUGCGCCCGCCAGUAUUCUGGCGGGCAUGCCUGUUCGAGCGUCAUUUCAACCAUCAAGCCCUGCUUGCGUUGGGGUCCUGCGGCUGCCCGCAGGCCCUGAAAACCAGUGGCGGGCUCGCUAGUCACACCGAGCGCAGUAAUACAUCUCGCUUUGGGCGUGCGGCGGGUUCUUGCCGUUAAACACCCCCUUUUUACCAAGGUUGACCUCGGAUCAGGUAGGAAGACCCGCUGAACUUAAGCAUAUCAAUAAGCGGAGGA
RNAcentral lists this unclassified non-coding RNA (334 nucleotides) under soil metagenome. RNAcentral describes it as "partial contains 5.8S ribosomal RNA, internal transcribed spacer 2, and large subunit ribosomal RNA". The stretch from base 1 to 120 matches the Rfam family "5.8S ribosomal RNA", at positions 35 to 154 of the family's 154-position model. The record is from RNAcentral.